UACGAAGGGGGCUAGCGUUGCUCGGAAUCACUGGGCGUAAAGCGCACGCAGGCGGAUCGUUAAGUCAGGGGUGAAAUCCCGAGGCUCAACCUCGGAACUGCCUUUGAUACUGAGAAGCUUGAGUCCGGGAGAGGUGAGUGGAACUGCGAGUGUAGAGGUGAAAUUCGUAGAUAUUCGCAAGAACACCAGUGGCGAAGGCGGCUCACUGGCCCGGUACUGACGCUGAGGAGCGAAAGCGUGGGGAGCAAACAGG
Molecule: ribosomal RNA, 253 nt
Filed under: uncultured bacterium
Lineage: Bacteria
Description: partial 16S ribosomal RNA
Rfam family: Bacterial small subunit ribosomal RNA
Source: RNAcentral